GAUUCAGCCCCAGUUUACACCGAGUUUAAAAGGUUCCCCAGCCGGGACUCUGAGUCGGUUGGCCUACGUCCUCUCUGGUGUUGAUGGCAGUGCAAUAUGCGUGAAGGUCAUUUAAUAGGUUUUACUCGGCGUAAAACGUUUGGCUGGAUGCCGUCCGAGUUGCAGAGCAUGCACGGCGUGGUGGUGCAGAUCUGGAUGAAGUACUUG
Long non-coding RNA from Hippocampus zosterae (dwarf seahorse), 207 nucleotides. RefSeq lists it as uncharacterized. The transcript is spliced from 2 exons. The record is from RefSeq and is a predicted model, not a curated record. Lineage: Eukaryota; Metazoa; Chordata; Actinopteri; Syngnathiformes; Syngnathidae.